Molecule: ribosomal RNA, 2326 nt
Filed under: Salmonella enterica
Lineage: Bacteria; Pseudomonadati; Pseudomonadota; Gammaproteobacteria; Enterobacterales; Enterobacteriaceae
Also listed under: 3 other names
Description: partial 23S ribosomal RNA
Rfam family: Bacterial large subunit ribosomal RNA
Source: RNAcentral
AGACCCGAAACCCGGUGAUCUAGCCAUGGGCAGGUUGAAGGUUGGGUAACACUAACUGGAGGACCGAACCGACUAAUGUUGAAAAAUUAGCGGAUGACCUGUGGCUGGGGGUGAAAGGCCAAUCAAACCGGGAGAUAGCUGGUUCUCCCCGAAAGCUAUUUAGGUAGCGCCUCGUGAAUUCAUCUCCGGGGGUAGAGCACUGUUUCGGCUAGGGGGCCAUCCCGGCUUACCAACCCGAUGCAAACUGCGAAUACCGGAGAAUGUUAUCACGGGAGACACACGGCGGGUGCUAACGUCCGUCGUGAAGAGGGAAACAACCCAGACCGCCAGCUAAGGUCCCAAAGUCAUGGUUAAGUGGGAAACGAUGUGGGAAGGCCCAGACAGCCAGGAUGUUGGCUUAGAAGCAGCCAUCAUUUAAAGAAAGCGUAAUAGCUCACUGGUCGAGUCGGCCUGCGCGGAAGAUGUAACGGGGCUAAACCAUGCACCGAAGCUGCGGCAGCGAACGUAUCACCCAAGACAACUUUACGGAGUUGACGAUUGACGGAGCGAAGCGACGUCAAAGCGUUCAUUAAAGUCGAGUUGGCUUAGGGAUACGUUCGUUGGGUAGGGGAGCGUUCUGUAAGCCUGUGAAGGUGUGUCGUGAGGCAUGCUGGAGGUAUCAGAAGUGCGAAUGCUGACAUAAGUAACGAUAAAGCGGGUGAAAAGCCCGCUCGCCGGAAGACCAAGGGUUCCUGUCCAACGUUAAUCGGGGCAGGGUGAGUCGACCCCUAAGGCGAGGCCGAAAGGCGUAGUCGAUGGGAAACGGGUUAAUAUUCCCGUACUUGGUGUUACUGCGAAGGGGGGACGGAGAAGGCUAUGUUGGCCGGGCGACGGUUGUCCCGGUUUAAGCGUGUAGGUGUGUGUUCCAGGUAAAUCCGGUUCACUUUAACACUGAGGCGUGACGACGAGGCACUACGGUGCUGAAGCAACAAAUGCCCUGCUUCCAGGAAAAGCCUCUAAGCAUCAGGUAACACGAAAUCGUACCCCAAACCGACACAGGUGGUCAGGUAGAGAAUACCAAGGCGCUUGAGAGAACUCGGGUGAAGGAACUAGGCAAAAUGGUGCCGUAACUUCGGGAGAAGGCACGCUGACACGUAGGUGAAGUGAUUUACUCAUGGAGCUGAAGUCAGUCGAAGAUACCAGCUGGCUGCAACUGUUUAUUAAAAACACAGCACUGUGCAAACACGAAAGUGGACGUAUACGGUGUGACGCCUGCCCGGUGCCGGAAGGUUAAUUGAUGGGGUCAGCGCAAGCGAAGCUCCUGAUCGAAGCCCCGGUAAACGGCGGCCGUAACUAUAACGGUCCUAAGGUAGCGAAAUUCCUUGUCGGGUAAGUUCCGACCUGCACGAAUGGCGUAAUGAUGGCCAGGCUGUCUCCACCCGAGACUCAGUGAAAUUGAACUCGCUGUGAAGAUGCAGUGUACCCGCGGCAAGACGGAAAGACCCCGUGAACCUUUACUAUAGCUUGACACUGAACAUUGAGCCUUGAUGUGUAGGAUAGGUGGGAGGCUUUGAAGUGUGGACGCCAGUCUGCAUGGAGCCGACCUUGAAAUACCACCCUUUAAUGUUUGAUGUUCUAACGUGGACCCGUAAUCCGGGUUGCGGACAGUGUCUGGUGGGUAGUUUGACUGGGGCGGUCUCCUCCUAAAGAGUAACGGAGGAGCACGAAGGUUGGCUAAUCCUGGUCGGACAUCAGGAGGUUAGUGCAAUGGCAUAAGCCAGCUUGACUGCGAGCGUGACGGCGCGAGCAGGUGCGAAAGCAGGUCAUAGUGAUCCGGUGGUUCUGAAUGGAAGGGCCAUCGCUCAACGGAUAAAAGGUACUCCGGGGAUAACAGGCUGAUACCGCCCAAGAGUUCAUAUCGACGGCGGUGUUUGGCACCUCGAUGUCGGCUCAUCACAUCCUGGGGCUGAAGUAGGUCCCAAGGGUAUGGCUGUUCGCCAUUUAAAGUGGUACGCGAGCUGGGUUUAGAACGUCGUGAGACAGUUCGGUCCCUAUCUGCCGUGGGCGCUGGAGAACUGAGGGGGGCUGCUCCUAGUACGAGAGGACCGGAGUGGACGCAUCACUGGUGUUCGGGUUGUCAUGCCAAUGGCACUGCCCGGUAGCUAAAUGCGGAAGAGAUAAGUGCUGAAAGCAUCUAAGCACGAAACUUGCCCCGAGAUGAGUUCUCCCUGAGACUUAGAGUCUCCUGAAGGAACGUUGAAGACGACGACGUUGAUAGGCCGGGUGUGUAAGCGCAGCGAUGCGUUGAGCUAACCGGUACUAAUGAACCGUGAGGCUUAACCUUACA